GUGGGGAAUAUUGGACAAUGGGCGCAAGCCUGAUCCAGCAAUGCCGCGUGGAUGAAGAAGGUUUUCGGAUUGUAAAGUCCUUUCGGCGGGGGAGAUGAUGACGGUACCCGCAGAAGAAGCCCCGGCUAACUUCGUGCCAGCAGCCGCGGUAAUACGAAGGGGGCUAGCGUUGCUCGGAAUGACUGGGCGUAAAGGGCGCGUAGGUGGAUGGGUUUGUCGGGCGUGAAAUUCCAGGGCUUAACCUUGGGGCUGCGUUCGGGACGGCUUGUCUGGAGUUUGGAAGAGGGUCGUGGAAUUCCCAGUGUAGAGGUGAAAUUCGUAGAUAUUGGGAAGAACACCGGUGGCGAAGGCGGCGACCUGGUCCAAGACUGACGCUGAUGCGCGAAAGCGUGGGGAGCAAACAGG
This 405-nucleotide ribosomal RNA is filed under the name uncultured Acidiphilium sp. RNAcentral describes it as "bacterial SSU rRNA". It matches the Rfam family "Bacterial small subunit ribosomal RNA", at positions 354 to 776 of the family's 1533-position model. Lineage: Bacteria; Pseudomonadati; Pseudomonadota; Alphaproteobacteria; Acetobacterales; Acidocellaceae. The record is from RNAcentral.